Molecule: non-coding RNA, 29 nt
Filed under: Homo sapiens (human)
Lineage: Eukaryota; Metazoa; Chordata; Mammalia; Primates; Hominidae
Source: RNAcentral
UUGGACUGUGUGUCAGGAAGAUGGACUGC